This is a small nuclear RNA of Budorcas taxicolor (takin), 104 nucleotides long. NCBI's taxonomy places the organism in Eukaryota, Metazoa, Chordata, Mammalia, Artiodactyla, Bovidae. The record is from RefSeq and is a predicted model, not a curated record.
GUGUUUGCGUUGGCAGCAUGUGUAUUAAAAUGGGAAUCAUACAAAGAUCAGCCCAGCCCUUGUGCAAGGAUAACAUGCAAAUUCAUGAAGUGUUCUGUGUUUUU